AUGUCUUCUUUAAGCUCCCGCGCCACCUCGCGGAUGCAGAGCCCAGCGCGCGUGGAGAUGCCUAUCUUCAUCUGUCCGCGGUGCCGGGCGGGCGUUGAUCAGAGGGUUUCUCACACAUCGAAGAACCAUAAUCGUCCGUUCUACGUGUGCAGCGAGAAUGGGGUGAAAUGUUUCUUCCUUUGGGUCGAUGCUCUGGCCAAGACUCUGAUGAAUGAACUGCAAGAAGAGCAUGAACAAUGGUUGCCCAUGCUGCUACGAACGGCAGUGGCCGCAGCACGAGCUCCGGAAGAAGAGACGGAGGCGAAGCACGCAAUGACAGAGAGCUAG
Molecule: ribosomal RNA, 327 nt
Filed under: Triticum aestivum (bread wheat)
Lineage: Eukaryota; Viridiplantae; Streptophyta; Magnoliopsida; Poales; Poaceae
Description: partial small subunit ribosomal RNA
Source: RNAcentral